UACGGAGGGUGCAAGCGUUAUCCGGAUUCACUGGGUUUACAGGGUGCGUAGGCGGGCAGGUAAGUCAGUGGUGAAAUCUCCGAGCUUAACUCGGAAACUGCCGUUGAUGCUAUUUGUCUUGAAUACUGUGGAGGUAAGCGGAAUAUGUCAUGUAGCGGUGAAAUGCGUAGAUAUGACAUAGAACACCAAUUGCGAAGGCAGCUUACUACACAGCGAUUGACGCUGAGGCACGAAAGCAUGGGGAGCAAACAGG
This 253-nucleotide ribosomal RNA is filed under the name uncultured bacterium. Its description in RNAcentral is "partial 16S ribosomal RNA". It matches the Rfam family "Bacterial small subunit ribosomal RNA", at positions 524 to 776 of the family's 1533-position model. The record is from RNAcentral.